GACGAACGCUGGCGGCGUGCUUAACACAUGCAAGUCGAACGGAAAGGCCCUGCUUUUGUGGGGUGCUCGAGUUGCGAACGGGUGAGUAACACGUGAGUAACCUGCCCUUGACUUUGGGAUAACUUCAGGAAACUGGGGCUAAUCCCGGAUAGGAGCUCCUGCUGCUUGGUGGGGGCUGGAAAGUUUCGCCGGUUGGGGAUGGACUCGCCGGUUAUCAGCUUGUUGGUGGGGUAGUGGCUUGCCAAGGCUUUGACGGGUAGCCGGCCUGGGAGGGUGACGGGGCAGAUGGGGUGUGAGUGAGGGCCCGGACAGAAUCGUGGGGCAGGGGGGGGAAGUAGAUCAUAGAGGGCGGAAGCCGGAUGGAGCAAGGCCGGGUGCGGGAGAACGGCCGUCGGGUGGGAAAGCGCGUUCGCCUGUGCCGAAGCGUGAUGAACGUAACUGGAGAAAAAGGCACGGCUAAAUUCGGG
RNAcentral lists this ribosomal RNA (467 nucleotides) under uncultured bacterium. Its description in RNAcentral is "partial 16S ribosomal RNA". It matches the Rfam family "Bacterial small subunit ribosomal RNA", at positions 28 to 507 of the family's 1533-position model. The record is from RNAcentral.